This 182-nucleotide microRNA precursor is filed under the name Oryza sativa Indica Group (long-grained rice). RNAcentral's name for it is "MIR812 microRNA precursor family". It matches the Rfam family "MIR812 microRNA precursor family", at positions 22 to 205 of the family's 205-position model. Lineage: Eukaryota; Viridiplantae; Streptophyta; Magnoliopsida; Poales; Poaceae. The record is from Rfam by way of RNAcentral.
AAUAAAUCACGUUCAACGUUUGACCAUUCGUUUUAUUUGAAAACUUUUUAUGAUUAGUAUUUUUAUUACUAUUAGAUGAUAAGUAUUUUAUGUGUGACUAAAUACUUUCAAAUUUUUCACAAAUUAUUCAAAUAAGACGGACGGUCAAACGUUGGGCACGAAUAUCCACGGCUGCACUUAUU